GUUACUCUUAGUAUUUGAUAACCUUCCUGCAACGACAGACUCUCAAGGAUUCUGGCCUCAGCGCAGCUCCUUGACAGCUUGCAUCGCUGCCUCGCGAGUCUACGAGACACUCUAAAGAUUACAGGUUGCGGCGUGCAGGGAUAGGCCUACCUUUGCAAUGGCCAAGUUUGACGAUCUGCUGACACAUCUGGGAACCGGAAGGUGGAACUUGCUCUACGCAUGCGCCAUGGGUUACUGGUCAAUGCAAAUUCCCUACCACAGCAUGGGCGCCGCUUUCCUAACCCCGCACAUGGACUUUGCAUGCCACCAUAACUCCCAUGUGGACUCGCCUACAAACAGGUAAAAUCAUCUCUUGGGCGUCAGUGGGAUGUAAUGAUUAUAGGACUUCGUUAGUGUUAGCUAUGUUAUGGUUGUGAUGAUGUAGAUAUGGUUAAAAUAGUUUUAGUUAUGUUAUGGUUGUGAUGAUAUAGUUAUAGUUUUAAUAGUGUUGAUCAUGUUAUAGGUGUG
This 507-nucleotide long non-coding RNA is filed under the name Penaeus japonicus. Its description in RNAcentral is "uncharacterized LOC122267621". The record is from RNAcentral. Lineage: Eukaryota; Metazoa; Arthropoda; Malacostraca; Decapoda; Penaeidae.